UACGUAGGGUGCGAGCGUUAAUCGGAAUUACUGGGAGUAAAGCGUGCGCAGGCGGUUUUGUAAGCCAGGUGUGAAAGCCCCGGGCUAAACCUGGGAAUGGCAUUUGGGACUGCAAGGCUGGAGUUUGGCAGAGGAGACUGGAAUUCCUGGUGUAGCAGUGAAAUGCGUAGAUAUCAGGAGGAAUACCGAUGGCGAAGGCAGGUCUCUGGGCUAUAACUGACGCUCAUGCACGAAAGCGUGGGGAGCAAACAGG
Molecule: ribosomal RNA, 253 nt
Filed under: uncultured bacterium
Lineage: Bacteria
Description: partial 16S ribosomal RNA
Rfam family: Bacterial small subunit ribosomal RNA
Source: RNAcentral